Molecule: non-coding RNA, 21 nt
Filed under: Caenorhabditis elegans
Lineage: Eukaryota; Metazoa; Nematoda; Chromadorea; Rhabditida; Rhabditidae
Source: RNAcentral
UUCAGAUACCCGUCCCUGCCA